GAGUAGUAUAUAUCUGUUUAAGAACCUCUUCCUUUUUUCCUAUUUGGUUCUAUUAUCCAAUUUCCUAUUUGAUUUUCUUAUUUUUAACUCUUUCCAUUUAAAAUAUUAUAUAUCCAAAGUUAUAAGACCAAAUUAGUUUCCUUAUCAAAACGAAAAAUUUCAAGAAAGAAAAAAGGAAAAAAAAAAAACUCAUGGCAUUAAUUUAGCACACAAGCUAUUUUCUAACCGUCAUUCUGGCCUUGUCCGUCGUGUAGUAGCAAAAUUAAUCACUGCAUUACAAUCAAAAUCUAAAAAACACGUGUCGGUCCUCUGUCUCUGGUAAUGCCGAACUGUUAAUUCCCCAGUGGCCGGGAUUUGAACCCAGGUGGCGAUACUCACAGCUGUAAGCCCUUUACCACUAGAGCUAGAAGUCCCGGUUUCUAAAACAUGUUUUCUAAAUUUUUUAAUAUGCUUUGGUACCUAAAACAUAUGUUCAUGGGUUUUAUCAGAGUACCUACCUACACAAUAUAAUCUUUGGAACUACCAAUAUUAGAGAAUCUCAGUCUCUAAAAUAAAGUUUAUUUCUUAACAUCAGAGAAUUUGACUAAAAUAACUGUACAUAUAGGUAAGAAACUCUCACUUUGGCAAAAUUAUUUUUUUAAAAAAAAAUCCAAACAUAUUAUACGAGAAUA
Long non-coding RNA from Brassica rapa (field mustard), 671 nucleotides. RefSeq lists it as uncharacterized. Lineage: Eukaryota; Viridiplantae; Streptophyta; Magnoliopsida; Brassicales; Brassicaceae. The record is from RefSeq and is a predicted model, not a curated record.